AAAACACUGAACUGAAAUGCCUGUUGGAUUAAAAUUCAGUAUGGAAAAAUUGAUUUUCUGAUGUUCUUCUUUCAUGUCCAGAAGCAUCUUUGCAUCUCCUUUGGCUCAUUCCCAUUUGCCUAUUCACAAGUGGUUUGUUGGUUUUGGUCAGCAAGAAAAAAAAAGGUGCCAAGCAGAAAGAACAAACUAUCUAUGCAGAAGUUGACGAGAACAUAAAGCCAAAAAAGUCACCAGAGAUGUUGGAGAAAUCAGAUAAUCCUCAUACAGUGCAUAUUACUGCAGGAGAUCCAGGACAAACUGAUGUUACCAUCCACACCACACACAACGACGCCCCUAUUAAUCAGAGUUCAUCACUCACAGAGAAGAGCAAACCAGAUGCACCAGUCACUAUCUACUGUACCAUUCAGCAGCAACCAAAACCCCCGAAAACUGAAGCUGAAAACACUAUUUAUGCUGUGGUCAGUAAACAGCCAGCCGGGUAUGAAUCUGCACAUCCACAAUCAGAAUAAAAGU
Long non-coding RNA from Sinocyclocheilus anshuiensis, 513 nucleotides. The record is from Ensembl. NCBI's taxonomy places the organism in Eukaryota, Metazoa, Chordata, Actinopteri, Cypriniformes, Cyprinidae.